AUAUAUAUAUAUAUAUAUGCCAUCAGUUUAAGAACAAUAAAAUAAACAAUUUACUUAGCAAAUGGUGAUAAUGUUUGUUAAUGAAAGAGAGUACGGGACAAAUUAACAUUUAAACCUUAAACUAGCAGCGCACGUCACUUUCUGAGUGAAGUGCGCGACGUGCGCGUGCCCGUCAUUUUGUAACGGUCAACUUCCAGCGGACGGACACGGAGGAAAGGGCCUGACAACCACCAGUUGAGUCCAUGAUUCAGGGAAGAGACAGUCUGGGCAGCAGCAACAAGACAACUAUUACAAGUAGAGAUGGGUUUCAAAAACUGGUACUAAUUUGGUUCCUGACUUGUUCGACACAACCACAUAUCCUCUAAAUCAUCUCUGUGUGGAUGGCAGCAAGGAUCCAGGAUCAAGAGAUCAUUCUUCAUGGAGACUGUUCCACAGGAAGCAGUUUAUCCUGGGUCAAAAACUAAACCUGGUUGUUUCAGCAUC
Long non-coding RNA from Carassius gibelio (silver crucian carp), 483 nucleotides. RefSeq lists it as uncharacterized. The record is from RefSeq and is a predicted model, not a curated record. The transcript has 4 exons. Lineage: Eukaryota; Metazoa; Chordata; Actinopteri; Cypriniformes; Cyprinidae.